GACGAAGGAUGCAAGCGUUAUCCGGAUUCAUUGGGCUUAAAGGGAGCGUAGGUGGCCUUAUAAGUCAGUGGUGAAAUCUCUGGGCUUAACCCAGAAAUUGCCAUUGAUACUGUAGGGCUUGAGUACAGUUGCUGUGGGCGGAAUAUGACAUGUAGUGGUGAAAUACAUAGAGAUGUCAUAGAACACCGAUUGCGAAGGCAGCUCGCAAAGCUGUAACUGACACUGAGGCUCGAAAGUGCGGGGAUCAAACAGG
This 253-nucleotide ribosomal RNA is filed under the name uncultured bacterium. RNAcentral's name for it is "partial 16S ribosomal RNA". It matches the Rfam family "Bacterial small subunit ribosomal RNA", at positions 524 to 776 of the family's 1533-position model. The record is from RNAcentral.